RNAcentral lists this ribosomal RNA (253 nucleotides) under uncultured bacterium. RNAcentral describes it as "partial 16S ribosomal RNA". It matches the Rfam family "Bacterial small subunit ribosomal RNA", at positions 524 to 776 of the family's 1533-position model. The record is from RNAcentral.
UACGUAGGUGGCAAGCGUUGUCCGGAAUUAUUGGGCGUAAAGCGCGCGCAGGCGGUCCUUUAAGUCUGAUGUGAAAGCCCACGGCUCAACCGUGGAGGGUCAUUGGAAACUGGGGGACUUGAGUGCAGGAGAGAAGAGUGGAAUUCCACGUGUAGCGGUGAAAUGCGUAGAGAUGUGGAGGAACACCAGUGGCGAAGGCGGCGACCUGGACAGUUACUGACACUCAACUACGAAAGCGUGGGGAGCAAACAGG